RNAcentral lists this ribosomal RNA (774 nucleotides) under Salmonella enterica subsp. enterica serovar Gatuni. Its description in RNAcentral is "partial 23S ribosomal RNA". It matches the Rfam family "Bacterial large subunit ribosomal RNA", at positions 516 to 1190 of the family's 2925-position model. Lineage: Bacteria; Pseudomonadati; Pseudomonadota; Gammaproteobacteria; Enterobacterales; Enterobacteriaceae. The record is from RNAcentral.
GAAAAGAACCCCGGCGAGGGGAGUGAAAAAGAACCUGAAACCGUGUACGUACAAGCAGUGGGAGCCCCACCACUAAGCCAGUGGUGAACUCCACAUACGCAUCCUUUGCUGAGGAUGCGGUUAACGGAGCGAAAGCGACGUUCAACCGCAAAAGAAGCAGAGGGGGCUUAGUGGUGGGGUGACUGCGUACCUUUUGUAUAAUGGGUCAGCGACUUAUAUUCUGUAGCAAGGUUAACCGAAUAGGGGAGCCGGAGGGAAACCGAGUCUUAAUUGGGCGUUAAGUUGCAGGGUAUAGACCCGAAACCCGGUGAUCUAGCCAUGGGCAGGUUGAAGGUUGGGUAACACUAACUGGAGGACCGAACCGACUAAUGUUGAAAAAUUAGCGGAUGACCUGUGGCUGGGGGUGAAAGGCCAAUCAAACCGGGAGAUAGCUGGUUCUCCCCGAAAGCUAUUUAGGUAGCGCCUCGUGAAUUCAUCUCCGGGGGUAGAGCACUGUUUCGGCUAGGGGGCCAUCCCGGCUUACCAACCCGAUGCAAACUGCGAAUACCGGAGAAUGUUAUCACGGGAGACACACGGCGGGUGCUAACGUCCGUCGUGAAGAGGGAAACAACCCAGACCGCCAGCUAAGGUCCCAAAGUCAUGGUUAAGUGGGAAACGAUGUGGGAAGGCCCAGACAGCCAGGAUGUUGGCUUAGAAGCAGCCAUCAUUUAAAGAAAGCGUAAUAGCUCACUGGUCGAGUCGGCCUGCGCGGAAGAUGUAACGGGGCUAAACCAU